This is an RNA transcript of Scatophagus argus, 2595 nucleotides long. It is a transcript of the gene named galactokinase-like, with no coding region annotated. The transcript has 9 exons. The record is from RefSeq and is a predicted model, not a curated record. NCBI's taxonomy places the organism in Eukaryota, Metazoa, Chordata, Actinopteri, Scatophagidae.
GCUGAAGAGCCGCAUGCCGACCCCUGCCAUAGACUCUUAGCGAUUUGUUGUCCUGUAGGUUGAUAAUAUCAUCUCAAUGAAUUUCCCGCACACGUUUCAUUGAUAGACUUUUUGUUUAAAGUAGAGGUAGAAAUCGUGUAUUGCUCAAUGGCCAGUUCCUUUCCAAGUGUGUCCGAGCUUGUUGCGGAGGCUCGGCGUUUGUACGGUGACAUGUUCGGGGAAGAGGCUCCUCUGAUGGCGGUGUGCGCUCCUGGACGAGUCAACCUGAUCGGGGAGCACACUGACUACAACCAGGGAUUUGUACUUCCAAUGGCCUUGCCUCUGGCGACUGUGGUGGUGGGGAGUCAAACUUCUGGACAUGAUGUUACCGUGGUGACAGCAACUAAGGAUGCUGAUGAGCCUCGGAGGAUGGACUUCAGCCUGCCCACUGAUGGAUCACCGCUGUCCCCAGGGUUACCCAGCUGGGCAAACUACGUGAAGGGUGUUAUACAGCAUUACAGGGCUCCUCCCGUCCCGGGUUUCCGGGCAGUGAUAACCAGCAGUGUCCCCCUGGGAGGAGGUCUGUCCAGCUCUGCCUCUCUGGAGGUGGCUUUCUAUACAUUCCUGCAGCAACUUAAGCCAGAUGAUGGAGACAAGAUAUCCAAAGCAUUAGCCUGUCAGCAGGCAGAGCACACUCACGCCGGUGUACCCUGUGGUAUUAUGGAUCAGUUUGUGUCUGUGCUCGGCAGGGAGGGCCAUGCUUUGCUCCUUGACUGCAGGUCCCUGGAGGCCACCCCUGUACCUCUGGCAGAUCCAGGCCUGGUCAUUCUCAUCACCAACUCCAAUGUGAAACAUUCUCUGACCGGCAGCGAGUACCCCACGAGACGCAGACAGUGUGAAGAGGCUGCCUCCAUCCUGGGAAAGGAAAGUCUCAGAGAUGCAACUAUGAAGGACCUGGAGGAGAUGAAGGAUAGACUCGAUGAUGUAACCUAUCGAAGAGCUCGUCAUGUGAUUGAGGAGAUAGAAAGAACUGUCCGUGCUGCUGAAGCCCUGAAGAGAGGAGCCUACAAAGAGUUUGGAAAGCUUAUGGUGGAGAGCCACAGCUCACUUAGGUACAGUCAAAGCAGCUGUGGUGCAUCUGUUGAAUGUAGAGUCACUGUUCAAGACAGACUGGUGUUUGGUAGCCGAAUGACAGGUGGAGGCUUCGGGGGAUGCACUGUGACUCUGCUGCAGGCCCACGCCAUUGACAGGACUAUACUGCACAUUCAGGCAUUCUCCUGCUCCUGCUUCCCCACCUUCUGCUGACGCCAGGAGGGAGUCAGAGGAAGCCAUGCUGGUUGGAAGCACUCAGCUCUCUCCUGAGGAACACCUUUGUAGACGCAAUGAGGGCCGGCAGUUCUCACAGAUUCCUCCCUGCCUGCCUCCCCUCUAGACAGCGAUGUGAUGUAUUUGGUCACUCACUACACUUCUCCAGUUACACUCACCUAAACACCCUCUUGUCCUGGGUUAUCCCUGGUUAGUUCUGCACAAUCCUCAUAUGGACUGGUCCUCCAGCAAAGUUCUGUCGUGGGAGAGUAACUGUAAGACGCAGUGCCUGGUGGGCUCCUCUGUUGCCACCCUGCAGGGAGCAUCCACCUCACCCAAGGGGGUCGACGACAAGGAGUUUCCUCAUCUGUCCUCUGUUCCACCCUGCUACCUGGACCUUAAGCAGAAUGUCAGGCCAUGGAGGACUACAUAGGAGCUUCCCUCACGGCUGGGAUCAUCAGGCCUUCUUCAUCACCUGCUGGAGCUGGAUUUUUCUUUGUGGGGAAGAAGGAUAAGACUCUUCGACCCUGCAUCGAUUAUCGGGGUCUUAACAAGAUCACAGUAAAGAACAGGUAUCCUCUCCCUCUCAUUGCCUCUGGGUUUGAGCUUCUCCAGGGGUCCAAGGUAUUUACCUCUUUGGAUUUACGCAACGCCUAUCAUUUGGUCCACAGAAGAUGGCAUUUAAUACACCGACCGGACAUUAUGAAUAUAUGGUUAUGCCUUUUGGUCUCACUAAUGCUCCUGCUGUGUUUCAAUCACUGGUGAAUGAUGUUCUUCGUGAGUAUCUCAAUAAGUUUGUGUUUAUGUAAUCAACAACAAAUCAUUAUACUUUGGUAGAUCAUAAAACAAAUGUUUACAUGCUUUCUUUAGCUUACUUGUUCACCUCAUGGUGGUUUAUAAACUGAGAUAAACAUUUUUUUGCAAUGAUAUAAAGUCAGCGCCAAGAAAAUGGGUCACUGGAAUGAGCUGGAACUAUUCCAUCAAUACAAAAUUUUGAGGCACUCAAAACAACUGAGCUAUUACAACAACAAUUCAUUUUUUAGUGAGAUUAUAUUCAUGAGUCCAACUUUUUUUCCAAGUUGAACUUAUGUUACUUCUUUUAUCAAGAUUUACUGUUAGGUUUUAUAGUGAAACAGGUCAGGAAAAGGAGUAAAUUACAUCCAUCUUGGAUUGAAGAGAAUGCGUAUGAAAAUGCUGAAAGUUACUUUUCAUUUAGAUACCAUAUUUGUUAUAAAGUUUGCACUUUUCCUUUUCAAGCAUGAGUGACUGGGACCUUGUUGUGGAGGCAUCAUUAAAUGAGAGUUGUGAACA